This 483-nucleotide ribosomal RNA is filed under the name uncultured bacterium. RNAcentral's name for it is "partial 16S ribosomal RNA". It matches the Rfam family "Bacterial small subunit ribosomal RNA", at positions 30 to 507 of the family's 1533-position model. The record is from RNAcentral.
UUGAACGCUGGCGGCAGGCCUAACACAUGCAAGUCGAGCGGAUGAAGGGAGCUUGCUCCUGGAUUCAGCGGCGGACGGGUGAGUAAUGCCUAGGAAUCUGCCUGGUAGUGGGGGAUAACGUCCGGAAACGGGCGCUAAUACCGCAUACGUCCUGAGGGAGAAAGUGGGGGAUCGUCGGACCUCACGCUAUCAGAUGAGCCUAGGUCGGAUUAGCUAGUUGGUGGGGUAAAGGCCUACCAAGGCGACGAUCCGUAACGGGUCUGAGAGGAUGAUCAGUCACACUGGAACUGAGACACGGUCCAGACUCCUACGGGAGGCAGCAGUGGGGAAUAUUGGACAAUGGGCGAAAGCCUGAUCCAGCCAUGCCGCGUGUGUGAAGAAGGUCUUCGGAUUGUAAAGCACUUUAAGUUGGGAGGAAGGGCAGUAAGUUAAUACCUUGCUGUUUUGACGUUACCAACAGAAUAAGCACCGGCUAACUUCGUG